UCCUGUGCGGCUCCCACAACGGGAGGCCGAUGUUCAGGCGGGUCAAGGAGGAGGAUCGGCCCCUCUUCCUCUUCUGCCGAGGGGGCGGCAGCUGGUGCGCCGGCGUGGCUCCGGGGGGUGCGGAGGAGGCUGUGGAACUCUG
This 142-nucleotide non-coding RNA is filed under the name Alexandrium tamarense. The record is from RNAcentral. Lineage: Eukaryota; Dinophyceae; Gonyaulacales; Pyrocystaceae.